Molecule: ribosomal RNA, 440 nt
Filed under: uncultured bacterium
Lineage: Bacteria
Description: partial 16S ribosomal RNA
Rfam family: Bacterial small subunit ribosomal RNA
Source: RNAcentral
CCUACGGGAGGCAGCAGUGGGGAAUAUUGCACAAUGGGGGAAACCCUGAUGCAGCGACGCCGCGUGGGGGAUGAAGGUUUUCGGAUUGUAAACUCCUUUCGUGAGAGAAGAUAAUGACGGUAUCUCACGAAUAAGCACCGGCUAACUCCGUGCCAGCAGCCGCGGUAAUACGUAGGGUGCAAGCGUUACCCGGAAUUACUGGGGGUAAAGAGUGCGCAGGCGGGCUUGUAAGUCAGAUGUGAAAUCCUGUGGCUUAACUACAGAACUGCAUUGGAAACUAUGCGGCUAGAGUGUGGGAGAGGUAGGUGGAAUUCUUGGUGUAGGGGUAAAAUGCGUAGAUAUCAAGAGGAAUACUCAUGGCGAAGGCGACUUACUGGAACAUUACUGACGCUGAUGCACGAAAGCGUGGGGAGCAAACAGGAUUAGAUACCCCUGUAGUC